Molecule: ribosomal RNA, 492 nt
Filed under: uncultured bacterium
Lineage: Bacteria
Description: partial 16S ribosomal RNA
Rfam family: Bacterial small subunit ribosomal RNA
Source: RNAcentral
AGUGAACGCUGGCGGUAGGCCUAACACAUGCAAGUCGAACGGCAGCACAGUAAGAGCUUGCUCUUACGGGUGGCGAGUGGCGGACGGGUGAGGAAUACAUCGGAAUCUACUUUUUCGUGGGGGAUAACGUAGGGAAACUUACGCUAAUACCGCAUACGACCUACGGGUGAAAGCAGGGGAUCUUCGGACCUUGCGUGAUUGAAUGAGCCGAUGUCGGAUUAGCUAGUUGGCGGGGUAAAGGCCCACCAAGGCGACGAUCCGUAGCUGGUCUGAGAGGAUGAUCGGCCACACUGGAACUGAGACACGGUCCAGACUCCUACGGGAGGCAGCAGUGGGGAAUAUUGGACAAUGGGCGCAAGCCUGAUGCAGCCAUGCCGCGUGGGUGAAGAAGGCCUUCGGGUUGUAAAGCCCUUUUGUUGGGAAAGAAAAGCAGCAGGUUAAUACCCCGCUGUUCUGACGGUACCCAAAGAAUAAGCACCGGCUAACUUCGUG